CCUACGGGGGGCAGCAGUGAGGAAUAUUGGUCAAUGGGCGCGAGCCUGAACCAGCCAAGCCGCGUGAAGGAUGACUGCCCUACGGGUUGUAAACUUCUUUUAUAAAGGAAUAAAGUGAGGCACGUGUGCCUUUUUGAAUGUACUUUAUGAAUAAGGAUCGGCUAACUCCGUGCCAGCAGCCGCGGUAAUACGGAGGAUCCGAGCGUUAUCCGGAUUUAUUGGGUUUAAAGGGAGCGUAGAUGGGUUGUUAAGUCAGUUGUGAAAGUUUGCGGCUAAACCGUAAAAUUGCAAUUGAUACUGGCAGUCUUGAGUACAGUUGAGGUAGGCGGAAUUCGUGGUGUAGCGGUGAAAUGCUUAGAUAUCACGCAGAACACCGAUUGCGAAGGCAGCUUACUAAGCUGCCACUGACAUUGAUGCACGAAAGUGUGGGUAUCAAACAGGAUUAGAUACCCGGGUAGUC
RNAcentral lists this ribosomal RNA (460 nucleotides) under uncultured bacterium. RNAcentral describes it as "partial 16S ribosomal RNA". It matches the Rfam family "Bacterial small subunit ribosomal RNA", at positions 338 to 795 of the family's 1533-position model. The record is from RNAcentral.